GACGAACGCUGGCGGCGUGCUUAACACAUGCAAGUCGAACGUGAUUUUUGUGGAAAUUCUUUCGGGAAUGGAAAUGAAAUGAAAGUGGCGAACGGGUGAGUAACACGUGAGCAACCUACCUUACACAGGGGGAUAGCCGUUGGAAACGACGAUUAAUACCGCAUGAGACCACAGAAUCGCAUGAUAUAGGGGUCAAAGAUUUAUCGGUGUAAGAAGGGCUCGCGUCUGAUUAGCUAGUUGGAAGGGUAAAGGCCUACCAAGGCGACGAUCAGUAGCCGGUCUGAGAGGAUGAACGGCCACAUUGGAACUGAGACACGGUCCAAACUCCUACGGGAGGCAGCAGUGGGGAAUAUUGCACAAUGGGGGGAACCCUGAUGCAGCGACGCCGCGUGAGCGAAGAAGGUUUUCGAAUCGUAAAGCUCUGUCCUAUGAAAAGAUAAUGACGGUAUCAUAGGAGGAAGCCCCGGCUAAAUACGUGCCAGCAGCCGCGGUAAUACGUAUGGGGCGAGCGUUGUCCGGAAUUAUUGGGCGUAAAGGGUACGUAGGCGGUUUUUUAAGUCAGGUGUGAAAGCGUGAGGCUUAACCUCAUUAAGCACUUGAAACUGGAAGACUUGAGUGAAGGAGAGGAAAGUGGAAUUCCUAGUGUAGCGGUGAAAUGCGUAGAUAUUAGGAGGAAUACCGGUGGCGAAGGCGACUUUCUGGACUUUUACUGACGCUCAGGUACGAAAGCGUGGGGAGCAAACAGG
Molecule: ribosomal RNA, 746 nt
Filed under: uncultured Parvimonas sp.
Lineage: Bacteria; Bacillati; Bacillota; Tissierellia; Tissierellales; Peptoniphilaceae
Description: bacterial SSU rRNA
Rfam family: Bacterial small subunit ribosomal RNA
Source: RNAcentral